UCAUCAGAGUGUUCAAAUGUAUUGCUGGCAAAGAGGAAGAGGGGCCAAGCAUAUGUUAAAAGUGAAAACAACUGUCUUGUUGACUACUUCAGUGGAAAAUAGCUCAGUGGGCACUCUUACGUUUCACUGGACUAGACAAAAAAUGGUGCUAAUAUUUAUACAGUCUGAUUUUGUAGUUGGUUUGGGAUCAAAUUGCCAAUGCCCGACUCAUGGGUCCUUACCAUAGUCUUAUGAUCAGUUAAGUAGUAUUUAAAAAGUGGUCCUAAACGUGUAACCAUGUAUAAAAUUUGAAAUGGAUUUUGUACAAUAGGCUGAAUAGGGAGCUGUCCACUCUGUUUACUUAGUACCAAAUUCCGUGAGAGGAGCCACGUCCAGGGUUGAGGCCCAGGUUUCCUCCCAGCCUGCUGGUGUGAGAGGAGAAAGCUGCUCCUUUAUCAUUUAUUUCCAUUUUGAAAGUCAGGACACCUGAGUGAAGACACUAGAGGCCUCUUUUUGGAUUUCUUUAUAAUUAGCAGAACUUUUUCAGAGCUGUCUGCCUGUGUUGUUGUUGUAUGUGUAUUUUGAGCACUGCACUCACUUUAACAUUCUGAAGGCACUAAGGCCGGGCACCUACAGUCACAGAGCUCAGGCGGUGGGCAUUUGGGGCUGUGUUUUCUAAAAACUGUGUGUUGCUUUUAGCUUGUAUUUAAUAUUGUAGUUACUUGGAAAAAUGUGAAUAAAGUUCAUUAAUACUAC
This 735-nucleotide long non-coding RNA is filed under the name Bos taurus (domestic cattle). RNAcentral's name for it is "long non-coding RNA NONBTAT016858". The record is from RNAcentral. Lineage: Eukaryota; Metazoa; Chordata; Mammalia; Artiodactyla; Bovidae.